AGACUGCUAGUGGGGACUUUAUUACAGGCAGGGCUGUGGUGGUGUGCUUUAGCACUGAAGCGAACCCUAGUGUAAGCACAGAGAGGCGCUGCUUUCUGCUCUCCUUCUAAGUUCAAGCGUAUACAUAUUUGCAGCCUUGGUAAGUUUUUUUUGACUGCUCUUUGGAUGAAUAUGUGAAAGGGUAUUACAGUGUGCUUUUGCCUGUAAGGGCUGGUGUAUUGUGUAAUAAUUUAAAAUUUGAGAGCAAAGUCAGGCUUUUAAUGGCAAGUCAAUUGCCUGUGCAGAAAUGAAAUGCUUGUUUGAAUGGGCAUAUUUUAGUUUAUAGCUUUGUUUCCAUAUGAUCUUGUUAUGCUUCUUCUUCUUAUAGAGUUUAAAGUCAUUUCGUCUCUCAUUUCUGUUAGCAUUUAAAACGAUUCUGUUGGCUUUCUAGUAUUUUGAGCCAUUCCGACUUGCCAGCAGCCCCAAGUAAAUGAAAAUAGAAUUUCCAGAACCAUUCUGGAGCAGAUUUGUGGAGAAGCUUUGGUGUAUCUCCUUCUGCCCGCCUCUUGCUCUGCCCUCCAUAUACUUUGGGAACGACUUUUUUUCAGCUUCCUAGCCCAGUUCCUUUUUUGUGUACUUUUCACAGAGGACUGGUUUGGAGUUUGUGGGUAGUAUCGUUAAUUGAUUCUCAUCUUCUGGGAAUGUGAAUCACAGAGUGAACAGUUUUCAGCUCAUUUUGAAUGUGGGGGCAUGCUUGAUGGCUGCUGAGAUAUGUUUUAUUGCUAUCUAAAAUCGUGUAGAUAGUGCUGUUCUUUUCUUCCCGUUCCCAUGUAGCCCUGUACCAGGUUCUUACAAUACCACAUGUUUAGAAUAUCAAGAAUCCCCCCUUUGAGAACAUGUUUACUUCUUUUCCUCUGUCACCCCGGACAUGCCUUUUAAGAAGUAGAUUAAACUCUGAAGUCAGCGCCUGUUUGCCUUCACGGUUUAGUUGCUGUAUAAUAUAUUUUGAUAGCCAGGGAUAAUUAAAAAACAGACAAACAAAACACCAUUAUAGAACAUUUUGUUCUGCUGUAUAUGAGUUGGAAUAUGAGUAGGCGCUUUCAAUUCUUGAAUGUCAAGGAUGUGCCGUUGAAUAGAGAAAAUGAGUGUGUAAGCUGCUUACGUUAUUGAACUUAGGUUACACAUUCUGCUCCUUUCCUUGCUGGAAGCUGUGGAGUUGAUCUUAUUUUUAUGGUACUGUAAUAGAAAUUGAAUUAAGGGGUUGACAUGGAACUUGCUUUUCAGCUACUCCUCUUAUUGUUUAUGUGAGCUUAGGCAAUGGUCUUGACCUAGCCUUAGAUCCUUUAUCUGUAAAAUGGGGAUUAAGUGGAUAGGAUAUCUUCCCUCAGUGGGAUUAAAUGAGUAAAGGAAAGUAAAACAUUCGGCAGAUAGUAAAACUUCUAUAAAUGUUAGCUGCUGUCAUUUUUAUAGAUUCCUCCAGCGCCUGUUUGUGUGUUACUUUGGUCCAAAAAUGAUUCCUUUCAAGUUCUAAAUAAGGAGGAAGUCUUGUAAGUUUGUAACAAUGUGUCCCGUGUAAUUGCUACAACCUCAUCUGUUAAAUAGUUCUUCAACUUCCACUUGAGACGUAGAAAGCAGGUGGAAACAAUGUGUGGAGCUUUUUCCAAUCUAGGCAGAGGUGUGCCCAAGGGUACACUCCUGUGUGCAGCAGGUAGCCAAAUGAAGUUAGGUAAGUACAUUAGGUAAGCACUGUCCCAUCUCUAGCGCUCCAGUUGCAUUCAGUUGUCUAGGGAGUUCUUCCUCAGCCUUCCUCUCCCCCUGCAGCCAACAGCUGUGCUGCUGAUCAGUUUUGCCAUAGGGUCAAUUUGCCUGUACUUGAACUUGGUGAAAGAGUCAUACAGUGGCUGCAUUUCUGAACGAGUCUUUAUCCCUGUGCAGUUUACCCAUGCUGUUGUGUGCAGUACUUAUUCAUGUGUUUCAAAUUGUUAUAGUCUUUUGUGUGUUUUGAAAUUUAUUUUAUUGGCACCUGGGGUAUAUGGUCACUGGC
Molecule: long non-coding RNA, 2023 nt
Filed under: Mus musculus (house mouse)
Lineage: Eukaryota; Metazoa; Chordata; Mammalia; Rodentia; Muridae
Description: long non-coding RNA chr9:35424926-35426949
Source: RNAcentral